CCAGACUCCUACGGGAGGCAGCAGUGAGGAGUAUUGGUCAAUGGGCGAGAGCCUGAACCAGCCAAGUCGCGUGAGGGAAGACGGUCCUAUGGAUUGUAAGCCUCUUUUGCCGGGGAGCAAAAAGCGGUACGUGUACCGCAUCGAGAGUACCCGGAGAAAAAGCAUCGGCUAACUCCGUGCCAGCAGCCGCGGUAAUACGUAGGGAGCAAGCGUUAUCCGGAUUUAUUGGGUGUAAAGGGUGCGUAGAUGGAUAAACAAGUUGUUUGUGAAAUACCUCGGCUCAACUGAGGAACUGCAAGCAAAACUGUAUAUCUUGAGUACUGGAGGGGAAAGCGGAAUUCCUAGUGUAGCGGUGAAAUGCGUAGAUAUUAGGAAGAACACCGGUGGCGAAGGCGGCUUUCUGGACAGAAACUGACAUUGAGGCACGAAAGUGUGGGGAGCAAACAGGAUUAGAUACCCCAGUA
Molecule: ribosomal RNA, 464 nt
Filed under: uncultured bacterium
Lineage: Bacteria
Description: bacterial SSU rRNA
Rfam family: Bacterial small subunit ribosomal RNA
Source: RNAcentral